UGGAGACAUACCACGUGGUCUGGCAAAGCAUCUUCUCGCCUCUCAACUUUUGAUCUCCUCUACAGAUGGCGACAAGAUUAAUCGAAAUCCCCAACCCAUCCGGAUUAGACCCAUUCUUAUCAUAUUGUUUACAAUCAUUUAUUCUAUUCUGUACACACGGAAGGAGAGGGGAAAAAAAGACAAACAUUGGAACGUGCAAUAAGUAGCGGUACAGCGGCAGCAAGAAAUAGAAAAAAUCGAAGAAGACAGUGCAAAGGAAGAAGAGACGAGACAGUCGCUCGUCGUGUUUUACCUACUUUAUCGCCUCCCACGUCUCGCUGUCAAAGGUCUUCACAACCAGCAGCUCGAGGGCGUAAUUCACAAAACCGUACUGCACAUUGUACACGCGAAUUGGAACCGACAUCCGACGUCAACGUGUUGUUGUCGUUUCGUCCACGAGUCACAGUCAAACCAGUCGGCUCCUCCUUUGUCCUCGAUACGAGCAGUCCAUAGCAGUUUCUCUCUUUUUUUUUUUACGUGAACGUACCAUGAUGAUUGGGGACUGGUCGACGCUUCUCCACGUAUCAUUCCAUUCUAAUUGUCAUGGGAGCCGUGUUUACCUCGUGCACACGAGCCGCGUACUGGAAAGUUGGCCUGCCGUUUGUCGGACACGAUAAGUAUCGAUUUUCUACAGCUGCGCCACCUAGAUACAACCCUGUUACCCGACUUCGGCUCGCCCUCCAUCAACCCUCCUACACUCUUCCGCUGCCAAUCCGCUUCCAUCCUAUCCUCGACGGCCUGGCAUCGACGCCGAUAUUAGUCAUCCGAUGAAUACUUGCAAGACCUGCGAGACUGAGUUGGAAGAAAAUCGAAACCUCUUCUUUGAACUCGACGUUUACGAUUUUUCUUUUUAUUUCCCUAUUUCUUUUUUCAUUCUUCAGUUAUGGUCGUAGAUUUAAAGUUAAAACCAGUCUUCGAUCAUCCAUUACGUAGAAUAUAAGGAGAGAAUAUUGUUGUGUAUUGUUGUAUUUAUGCGUACAUUGAUCGCUAGAGCAAAGAUUUUAUUUCUUCUUCUUUUUUUUCUCUUGUUUUUAUACUCUUCAACGUUUUUUUUAUAUUCAUGUAAUAUAUAUAUCAAGUUAUGACAAGUGUAAAACAAAUUUUUCAUUUCGAAAUUUGAGAAAUAACGUAGAAUUAGAUAUUCUCCGAUUAAAAUUGAUGUAUAUAUUAGUC
This is a long non-coding RNA of Apis cerana (Asiatic honeybee), 1212 nucleotides long. RefSeq lists it as uncharacterized. Lineage: Eukaryota; Metazoa; Arthropoda; Insecta; Hymenoptera; Apidae. The record is from RefSeq and is a predicted model, not a curated record.